This 135-nucleotide small nuclear RNA is filed under the name Chinchilla lanigera (long-tailed chinchilla). RNAcentral describes it as "U4 spliceosomal RNA (ENSCLAG00000021083.1)". It matches the Rfam family "U4 spliceosomal RNA". From Rfam's summary of the family: U4 small nuclear RNA (U4 snRNA) is a component of the major U2-dependent spliceosome. The structure of U4 snRNA from yeast and human has been reported. U4 snRNA presents a k-turn RNA motif in the 5p-SL related to recognition of Snu13 protein. The record is from Rfam by way of RNAcentral. Lineage: Eukaryota; Metazoa; Chordata; Mammalia; Rodentia; Chinchillidae.
AGCUUUGUGCAGUGGCAGUAUUGUAGCCAAUGAGGUUUAUCCAAGAUGUAAUUUUUGCUAAUUGAAAACUUUUCUCAACCUAGCAAAGAAGGUGGAAGACCUCUGUAAUGAAAAUUAUGGAAUUCUGAAGAAAGA